Molecule: ribosomal RNA, 468 nt
Filed under: uncultured bacterium
Lineage: Bacteria
Description: partial 16S ribosomal RNA
Rfam family: Bacterial small subunit ribosomal RNA
Source: RNAcentral
GACGAACGCUGGCGGCGUGCUUAACACAUGCAAGUCGAACGGAAAGGCCCUGCUUUUGUGUGGUGCUCGAGUGGCGAACGGGUGAGUAACACGUGAGUAACCUGCCCUUUACUUUGGGAUAACUUCAGGAAACUGGGGCUAAUACCGGCUAGGAGCUCCUGCUGCAUGGUGGGGGUUGGAAAGUUUCGGCGGUUGGGGAUGGACUCGCGGCUUAUCAGCUUGUUGGUGGGGUAGUGGCUUACCAAGGCUUUGACGGGUAGCCGGCCUGAGAGGGUGACCGGCCACAUUGGGACUGAGAUACGGCCCAGACUCCUACGGGAGGCAGCAGUGGGGAAUAUUGCACAAUGGGCGGAAGCCUGAUGCAGAAACGCCGCGUGCGGGAUGACGGCCUUCGGGUUGUAAACCGCUUUAGCCUGUGACGAAGCGUGAGUGACGGUAAUGGGUAAAGAAGCACCGGCUAACUACGUG